UAUAUUUAAGUGUAUUGAGCACAGGGGAUUUUGAUUUCCCUAGUUAUGGUUUAAUUCCAUAAAAUAUAA
RNAcentral lists this transfer RNA (69 nucleotides) under Gonopsimorpha nigrosignata. RNAcentral's name for it is "tRNA-Gln". The record is from RNAcentral. Lineage: Eukaryota; Metazoa; Arthropoda; Insecta; Hemiptera; Pentatomidae.